RNAcentral lists this transfer RNA (72 nucleotides) under Caudoviricetes sp. Its description in RNAcentral is "tRNA-Glu". It matches the Rfam family "tRNA". From Rfam's summary of the family: Transfer RNA (tRNA) molecules are approximately 80 nucleotides in length. Lineage: Duplodnaviria; Heunggongvirae; Uroviricota; Caudoviricetes. The record is from RNAcentral.
GCUGGGUUCGAAUAACGGCUAGUUCGUCACACUUUCGAUGUGAAUAUAGGGGUUCGAUUCCCCUACCCAGUA